This 398-nucleotide ribosomal RNA is filed under the name uncultured bacterium. RNAcentral describes it as "bacterial SSU rRNA". It matches the Rfam family "Bacterial small subunit ribosomal RNA", at positions 361 to 775 of the family's 1533-position model. The record is from RNAcentral.
AUAUUGCACAAUGGGGGAAACCCUGAUGCAGCGACGCCGCGUGAGUGAAGAAGUAUUUCGGUAUGUAAAGCUCUAUCAGCAGGGAAGAAGAAAGACGGUACCUGACUAAGAAGCCCCGGCUAACUACGUGCCAGCAGCCGCGGUAAUACGUAGGGGGCAAGCGUUAUCCGGAUUUACUGGGUGUAAAGGGAGCGUAGACGGCGAAGCAAGUCUGAGGUGAAAGCCCGGGGCUCAACCGCGGGACUGCUUUGGAAACUGUUUUGCUAGAGUGCUGGAGAGGUAAGUGGAAUUCCUAGUGUAGCGGUGAAAUGCGUAGAUAUUAGGAAGAACACCAGUGGCGAAGGCGGCUUACUGGACAGUAACUGACGUUGAGGCUCGAAAGCGUGGGGAGCAAACAG